UCCACGCCGUAAACGAUGAAUGCUAGGUGUUGGGGGCGUUUAGGCCUUCAGUGCCGAAGUUAACGCAUUAAGCACUCCGCCUGGGAAGUACGGCCGCAAGGCUAAAACUCAAAGGAAUUGACGGGGGCCCGCACAAGCGGUGGAGCAUGUGGUUUAAUUCGAUGCAACGCGAAGAACCUUACCUGGGCUUGACAUGCCGGGAAUCCUUUGGAAACAUUGGAGUGCCCUCAGUU
This 233-nucleotide ribosomal RNA is filed under the name uncultured bacterium. RNAcentral's name for it is "partial 16S ribosomal RNA". It matches the Rfam family "Bacterial small subunit ribosomal RNA", at positions 794 to 1025 of the family's 1533-position model. The record is from RNAcentral.